AUCUCAGGGGAGCUCCUAGGGUGGGGCUGGUGCCAUGGCUCACCCUCCAACCUUUCCUUCUUCACUUCAGCCUCCAGCUCUGAGCUUUCCAAUCCCCAGAGUAGCAAAUGUUGAAAGAAGUUGCACAGGUGACAAACAGCAUGUUUGGUGCUUCAAGAAAGAAGUUUGUAGAGGGGGUCGACAGUGACUACCAUGACGAAAACAUGUACUACAGCCAGUCUUCUAUGUUUCCACAUCGGUCAGAAAAAGAUAUGCUGGCAUCACCAUCUACAUCAGGUCAGCUGUCUCAGUUUGGGGCAAGUUUAUACGGGCAACAAAGUGCACUAGGCCUUCCAAUGAGGGGGAUGAGCAACAAUACCCCUCAGUUAAAUCGCAGCUUAUCACAAGGCACUCAGUUACCGAGCCACGUCACGCCAACAACAGGGGUACCAACAAUGUCACUUCACACGCCUCCAUCUCCAAGCAGGGGUAUUUUGCCUAUGAAUCCUAGGAAUAUGAUGAACCACUCCCAGGUUGGUCAGGGCAUUGGAAUUCCUAGCAGGACAAAUAGCAUGAGCAGUUCAGGGUUAGGUAGCCCCAACAGAAGCUCGCCAAGCAUAAUAUGUAUGCCAAAGCAGCAGCCUUCUCGACAGCCUUUUACUGUGAACAGGUAAGAUGUUUAUUGAUACUGUGUAUAAUUGUCUUUCUGGGUAUACUCAGAUUUGCCUUUUCAUAUUUUCACUUUGUUCUUGAGGUGUGGCUUCUCUCUAAUAAGUGUGUUUCAUCAUGCAUUUAUGUCCAAAGAUUCUGUUACCCAUCACAAAACGAUACGUUUUCUUGAAAAUCAGGUUGAUUUUGGAAAGCACAUUAAAACAUUUUGUUGUUGUGGUUGUUAGAAAAGGAUUGUUCUUGGAUUCGCCACCAGGCAAAUUUUGGUUGAUAUGUCCUCUCUUUAUAAAAUAAGUUGAUUACCUGUGUGGUAAGAGUUCUAGGUUUAUGAAUAGAACUGGAGACAUGUUUGACUAUUACUACUUUGCUUUAGUUAUACUUUGAGUACCUUCUCAAGUAAGAUUUGGUUUUGUGCAUUGGCGACUUACCAACAAAAGACUUUUUAUCACAUCUAUAGUAUUUGAAAACCGUAUCAUGUUUAGGGAUUCGAAACAAAAAAACGGGUUUUUGUACUUUUUCACUUCUCUUUGUACUGUCUGUUGCAUAUACUUUGCGAAUAAGAGGAGUUACUCAUUUUGUUAGGAUUUUCAAGCUGUUUGGGUAAUUUGUAUGAGAAUUAUGUCUGAAAUAUAACACUUUCUUGCAAAAGUAGUAUUUAAGCUUGAUUGCCUACAUGUAUAUAUAUGUAUUUUUUAAAUGGAGAAAUGUAGGGGCAAAACUACCUUGAUCUAGUUGUUAUCAUCAUACCUAUUUGAUUCACUUUAUUCUGUCUAGUGAAAUCUGAAUUAAAAUAGGUUUAGCACAUUUACUGUUUAAU
RNAcentral lists this long non-coding RNA (1465 nucleotides) under Pan troglodytes (chimpanzee). RNAcentral describes it as "long non-coding RNA NONPTRT003562". The record is from RNAcentral. Lineage: Eukaryota; Metazoa; Chordata; Mammalia; Primates; Hominidae.